Molecule: small nuclear RNA, 102 nt
Filed under: Phascolarctos cinereus (koala)
Lineage: Eukaryota; Metazoa; Chordata; Mammalia; Diprotodontia; Phascolarctidae
Source: RNAcentral
GUGCUCGCUUAGGCAGCACUUGUACUAAAAUUGGAAUGCUGCAGAGAUCAGCUCAGUCUGGGCAAGGGUAACAUGCAAAUUCAAGAAAUUUCCCAUAUUUUU